GCCUAUUAUAUUAGUACCUUAAAGCACCAGAUCCCAUUUGAUCUUGGGAGCUAAGCAGGGUCAGCCAUGAUUAGUACUUAGAUGGAAAACAAUCAGCGAAUGCCUGGUACUUCGGGUU
Molecule: ribosomal RNA, 118 nt
Filed under: Anolis carolinensis (green anole)
Lineage: Eukaryota; Metazoa; Chordata; Lepidosauria; Squamata; Anolidae
Source: RNAcentral